Molecule: ribosomal RNA, 445 nt
Filed under: Salmonella enterica subsp. enterica serovar Chailey
Lineage: Bacteria; Pseudomonadati; Pseudomonadota; Gammaproteobacteria; Enterobacterales; Enterobacteriaceae
Description: partial 23S ribosomal RNA
Rfam family: Bacterial large subunit ribosomal RNA
Source: RNAcentral
UAUCGACGGCGGUGUUUGGCACCUCGAUGUCGGCUCAUCACAUCCUGGGGCUGAAGUAGGUCCCAAGGGUAUGGCUGUUCGCCAUUUAAAGUGGUACGCGAGCUGGGUUUAGAACGUCGUGAGACAGUUCGGUCCCUAUCUGCCGUGGGCGCUGGAGAACUGAGGGGGGCUGCUCCUAGUACGAGAGGACCGGAGUGGACGCAUCACUGGUGUUCGGGUUGUCAUGCCAAUGGCACUGCCCGGUAGCUAAAUGCGGAAGAGAUAAGUGCUGAAAGCAUCUAAGCACGAAACUUGCCCCGAGAUGAGUUCUCCCUGAGACUUUAGGUCUCCUGAAGGAACGUUGAAGACGACGACGUUGAUAGGCCGGGUGUGUAAGCGCAGCGAUGCGUUGAGCUAACCGGUACUAAUGAACCGUGAGGCUUAACCUUACAACGCCGAAGCUGUU